GACGAACGCUGGCGGCGCGCCUAACACAUGCAAGUCGAACGAGCGAGAGGAGGUUUACUUUCUCAAGCGAGUGGCGAACGGGUGAGUAACGCGUGAGGAACCUGCCUCAAAGAGGGGGACAACAGUUGGAAACGACUGCUAAUACCGCAUAAGCCCACGACCCGGCAUCGGGUAGAGGGAAAAGGAGCAAUCCGCUUUGAGAUAGCCUCGCGUCCGAUUAGCUAGUUGGUGAGGUAAUGGCCCACCAAGGCGACGAUCGGUAGCCGGACUGAGAGGUUGAACGGCCACAUUGGGACUGAGACACGGCCCAGACUCCUACGGGAGGCAGCAGUGGGGAAUAUUGCACAAUGGGGGAAACCCUGAUGCAGCGACGCCGCGUGGAGGAAGAAGGUCUUCGGAUUGUAAACUCCUGUUGUUGAGGAAGAUAAUGACGGUACUCAACAAGGAAGUGACGGCUAACUACGUG
RNAcentral lists this ribosomal RNA (466 nucleotides) under uncultured bacterium. Its description in RNAcentral is "partial 16S ribosomal RNA". It matches the Rfam family "Bacterial small subunit ribosomal RNA", at positions 28 to 507 of the family's 1533-position model. The record is from RNAcentral.